This 447-nucleotide ribosomal RNA is filed under the name uncultured bacterium. RNAcentral's name for it is "bacterial SSU rRNA". It matches the Rfam family "Bacterial small subunit ribosomal RNA", at positions 45 to 518 of the family's 1533-position model. The record is from RNAcentral.
GGCUUAACACAUGCAAGUCGAACGGAACAUAGGUAGCUUGCUAUCUAUGGUCAGUGGCGCACGGGUGAGUAACGCGUAGGAACCUGUCUUUUUAGGCCUGGGAUAGCCUCUGGAAACGGAGGGUAAAACCGGAUGAGCCCUGAGGGGGAAAUGAGCAAUCAGCUGGAAGAGGGGCCUGCGUUAGAUUAGGCAGUUGGUGGGGUAAUGGCCUACCAAACCGACGAUCUAUAGCUGGUCUGAGAGGAUGAUCAGCCACAUUGGGACUGAGACACGGCCCAAACUCCUACGGGAGGCAGCAGUGGGGAAUAUUGGACAAUGGGGGAGACCCUGAUCCAGCCAAUGCCGCGUGAGUGAAGACGGCCUUCGGGUUGUAAAGCGUCUUUUAGUCGUGAAGAUGAUGACAGUAGCGACAGAAAAAGCACCGGCUAACUUCGUGCCAGCAGCUGC